GUCUUUGGCCAUACCACCCUGAAUGCACCAGAUCUUGUCUGAUCUUGGAAGCUAAGCAGGGUCAGGCCUGGUUAGUAUUGGAUGGGAGACUGCCUGGGAAUACCAGGUGGUGUAGGCU
Molecule: ribosomal RNA, 118 nt
Organism: Otolemur garnettii (small-eared galago)
Lineage: Eukaryota; Metazoa; Chordata; Mammalia; Primates; Galagidae
Source: Ensembl